AUUGAACGCUGGCGGCAUGCCUAACACAUGCAAGUCGAACGAGUGGCGGACGGGUGAGUAAUUUAUUGGAACGUGCCUAAUCGAGGGGUAUAACGACUCGAAAACGUGGCUAAUACCGCUUACCACCCGAUCGGCCGAGAUGGGAUUAGCUUGUUGGUGGGGUAAAGGCUCACCAAGGCGACGAUCCCUAGCUGGUCUGAGAGGAUGACCGGCCACACUGGGACUGAGACACGGCCCAGACUCCUACGGGAGGCAGCAGUGGGGAAUAUUGGACAAUGGGCGAAAGUCUGAUCGAGCCACGCCGCGUGUAUGAAGAAGGCCUUCGGGUUGUAAAGUACUUUUGGCAGAGAAGCGGUAGCUGCAGAAGAAGCAACGGCUAACUACGUGCCAGCAGCCGCGGUAAUAC
Molecule: ribosomal RNA, 406 nt
Filed under: uncultured bacterium
Lineage: Bacteria
Description: partial 16S ribosomal RNA
Rfam family: Bacterial small subunit ribosomal RNA
Source: RNAcentral